GGAUCCGGGGCGCAGACACAGCACCACUCAUCAGGCCAUGCUGAGGCGGCAUCCCACACAGCACAACCAGGAGCACCUACAACUAAAAUAUACAGCUAUGUCCUGGGGGGCUUUGGGGAGGAGAAGAAGAAUUUUUUUAAGAAAAGAAGAAGAUUGGCAACAAAUGUUAGCUCAGGUGCCAAUCUUUAUUAAAAAAAUAAAAAACUGAUGCCACACAAAUGCCCGCCAGGUAAUCAGUUUCAUGAAAUAAUAGCAAAUUGAAAUUAUCCUCACCUUGCUAUGCCACCAGCAUUGAAAGUCUUCAAAAUAUAGGAAAAUUACUGUUUCUAAAGGAUUAUAUCAAUAACUUUUAUAAUACAAGCAAACAUUACAGCAGGAUACAUACACUUAUUCUAAGCAAUUGCCAUUUCCAUGCCACUGAAUUUCAGACCUCCUGUUUAUUUUUCAUAGCAGUCAGUCAAUAGAUAUUGUCUAAAGUUGAUAAAUUAAUAAAUAAGUAUAAAAGUAGACUAUUUAGAGUUACAAUAAUAACCAGAAGAAGAACAAAAUAAAAGCUUAUUCAAGGUCACUUCUAGGGAAUUUGAUUUGAGAAAUGAAAAGUGGAAAUGGGUCAGAAGAAAGGUUUAGCUUUAUAUUUUAUACCUUUCUGUACUGCUCAUGUUUCUUAUUAUAUGCAUAAUUUCCAUAAUUGUAAGAAACAAAUAUAAAAUGAGUAAAUAACAUCCUCACUAAUAAGGGAUUAGCUAAAUAAAUUAAGCAUGCGCAUGCACAUUGCUUCUCAACUUCGGAAGGGUGCUGGGUAAAAUCUGAAACCGGCCCCCAUACUCAGAGGGCAAGGAGAGACUACUCGAGACUAGUGGCUGGCAGGUUUAAUAAGCAAGGGAGCUUAUACGAGGCUUGUCUUGGGCGGCCACAAGCCGAGUAGAUCUAUGGACCCACCCACCAGAAUCUUCAAAGUUUAUACAGAGGCCUUAACUGGGUUCAAUCACAUAUAUCGUCCAGACGGUCUCAACAACACAUUGCUUUCUCAAGUGUACAUCCUUGAAAACAUCUCCCACUGUGGGCAGGGUGUACCUUCCAAGAACAGAGCAGGGGGGAAGGAGCCUCUGAUUGCGUGGGUCAACAGGAGGUCACAUCCUCUGGAUGACCUCCUCCAACAAUGCAGCGGGCCAUCAUGCAGAUGGGAAAAAAUAGCAAGAUAUAUAGUGGAGAUAAAAAGAUAACCUUGGAAUGCCAUUAAAUUUAAACAAGUAGUUGCAAACAAGUAUAGCCUGAUUCAACUUAAGUAAAAAUUACACGCACGUGGGGCCGGCCCGGUGGCGCAGCGGUUAAGUUCGCACGUUCCGCUUCUCGGCGGCCCGGGCUUCGCUGGUUCGGAUCCCGGGUGCGGACAUGGCACUGCUUGGCAGCCAUGCUGUGGUAGGCGUCCCACGUAUAAACUAGAGGAAGAUGGGCACGGAUGUUAGCUCAGAGCUAGGCUUCCUCAGCAAAAAGAGGAGGACUGGCAGUAGUUAGCUGAGGGCUAAUCUUCCUCCAAAAAUAAAAAAAAUUACACUCACAUGCAUACACACACACGCACACAGACUUGUAUAAGCAUAGAGAUACCUAGGAAAUAUACCAAGCUAUUAGAUUUGG
Molecule: long non-coding RNA, 1635 nt
Filed under: Equus caballus (horse)
Lineage: Eukaryota; Metazoa; Chordata; Mammalia; Perissodactyla; Equidae
Description: lncRNA (ENSECAG00000048368.1)
Source: RNAcentral